This 439-nucleotide ribosomal RNA is filed under the name uncultured bacterium. Its description in RNAcentral is "bacterial SSU rRNA". It matches the Rfam family "Bacterial small subunit ribosomal RNA", at positions 340 to 773 of the family's 1533-position model. The record is from RNAcentral.
UACGGAAGGCAGCAGUGGGGAAUAUUGCACAAUGGGCGCAAGCCUGAUGCAGCCAUGCCGCGUGUAUGAAGAAGGCUUUCGGGUUGUAAAGUACUUUCAGUCGUGAGGAAGGUGUUAAGGUUAAUAACCUUAGCAAUUGACGUUAGCGACAGAAGAAGCACCGGCUAACUCCGUGCCAGCAGCCGCGGUAAUACGGAGGGUGCGAGCGUUAAUCGGAAUUACUGGGCGUAAAGGGCACGCAGGCGGUUAAUUAAGUUGGAUGUGAAAUCCCCGGGCUUAACCUGGGAAUGGCAUUCAAGACUGGUUAGCUAGAGUCUUGUAGAGGGGGUAGAAUUCCAUGUGUAGCGGUGAAAUGCGUAGAGAUGUGGAGGAAUACCGGUGGCGAAGGCGGCCCCUGGACAAAGACUGACGCUCAUGUGCGAAAGCGUGGGGAGCAAAC